CGGCACUAGAUGUAUGCUCAUGCUCGCUGUCGCCGCAGGGGAAUCCGGUGGGAAUCCGGAACUGUCCCGCAACGGUGUACUUGUGCGCAUACGCGCACAGGAGUCAGUCCGAGGACCUGUCGGCAGCAAGCGCCAGCC
RNAcentral lists this non-coding RNA (138 nucleotides) under Streptomyces acidiscabies. The record is from RNAcentral. Lineage: Bacteria; Bacillati; Actinomycetota; Actinomycetes; Kitasatosporales; Streptomycetaceae.